AGAGUUUAGNAUCCUGGNCUCAGGGACGNAACGCUGGCGGACGUGCUUNAACACAUGGCACGUCGAAACGGAAAGGCCCCUUUCGGGGGGGUGCUCGAGUGGCGAACGGGUGAGUAACACGUGGGUGAUCUGCCCNUGCACUUUGGGAUAAGCCUGGGAAACUGGGUCUAAUACCGGAUAGGACUACGGCCUGCAUGGGUUGUGGUGGAAAGUCUUUCCGACGGUGUGGGAUGGGCCCGCGGCCUAUCAGCUUGUUGGUGGGGUGAUGGCCUACCCCGGCUGCGACGGGUAGCCGGCCUGAGAGGGUGUCCGGCCACACUGGGACUGAGAUACGGCCCAGACUCCUACGGGAGGCAGCAGUGGGGAAUAUUGCACAAUGGGCGCAAGCCUGAUGCCGCGACGCCGCGUGGGGGAUGACGGCCUUCGGGUUGUAAACCUCUUUCACCAUCGACGAAGCCUCAGGUUUUCUUGGGGUGACGGUAGGUGGAGAAGAAGCACCGGCCAACUACGUGCCAGCAGCCGCGGUAGUACGUAGGGUGCAAGCGUUGUCCGGAAUUACUGGGCGUAAAGAGCUCGUAGGUGGUUUGUCGCGUUGUUCGUGAAAUGCCACAGCUUAACUGUGGGCGUGCGGGCGAUACGGGCAGACUGGAGUACUGCAGGGGAGACUGGAAUUCCUGGUGUAGCGGUGGAAUGCGCAGAUAUCAGGAGGAACACCGGUGGCGAAGGCGCGGUCUCUGGGCAGUAACUGACGCUGAGGAGCGAAAGCGUGGGGAGCGAACAGGAUUAGAUAUCUCUGGUAGUCCACGCCGUAAACGGUGGGUACUAGGUGUGGGUUUCUUUCCUUGGGAUCCGUGCGCGUAGCUAACGCAUUAUGUACCCCGCCUGGGGAGUACGGCCGNCAAGGCUAAUACUCAUAGGAAUUGACNG
RNAcentral lists this ribosomal RNA (927 nucleotides) under uncultured bacterium. RNAcentral's name for it is "bacterial SSU rRNA". It matches the Rfam family "Bacterial small subunit ribosomal RNA", at positions 1 to 916 of the family's 1533-position model. The record is from RNAcentral.